RNAcentral lists this ribosomal RNA (518 nucleotides) under uncultured fungus. RNAcentral's name for it is "SSU rRNA". It matches the Rfam family "Eukaryotic small subunit ribosomal RNA", at positions 214 to 732 of the family's 1831-position model. Lineage: Eukaryota; Fungi. The record is from RNAcentral.
AUAAAAAACCAAUGCCCUUUUGGGCUCCUUGGUGAUUCAUAAUAACUUAACGAAUCGCAUGGCCUUGCGCCGGCGAUGGUUCAUUCAAAUUUCUGCCCUAUCAACUUUCGAUUGUAAGAUAGAGGCUUACAAUGGUCUUAACGGGUAACGGGGAAUUAGGGUUCUAUUCCGGAGAGGGAGCCUGAGAAACGGCUACCACAUCCAAGGAAGGCAGCAGGCGCGCAAAUUACCCAAUCCCGAUACGGGGAGGUAGUGACAAUAAAUACUGAUACGGGGCUCUUUCGGGUCUCGUAAUUGGAAUGAGUACAAUCUAAAUCCCUUAACGAGGAACAAUUGGAGGGCAAGUCUGGUGCCAGCAGCCGCGGUAAUUCCAGCUCCAAUAGCGUAUAUCAAAGUUGUUGCCGUUAAAAAGCUCGUAGUUGAACCUUGGACCUGGCUGAUCUGUCCUCCUAAUCGAGCGCACGGAUUCGGUCGGGUCUUUCCUUCUGGGGAGCCCCAUGCCCUUCACUGGGUGUGGC